This 402-nucleotide ribosomal RNA is filed under the name uncultured bacterium. Its description in RNAcentral is "bacterial SSU rRNA". It matches the Rfam family "Bacterial small subunit ribosomal RNA", at positions 355 to 774 of the family's 1533-position model. The record is from RNAcentral.
UGGGGGAUAUUGCACAAUGGGGGAAACCCUGAUGCAGCAACGCCGCGUGUGGGAAGAAGGUUUUCGGAUUGUAAACCACUGUUCUUGGUGAAGAUAAUGACGGUAACCAAGGAGAAAGCUCCGGCUAACUACGUGCCAGCAGCCGCGGUAAUACGUAGGGAGCAAGCGUUGUCCGGAUUUACUGGGUGUAAAGGGUGCGUAGGCGGCCAGGCAAGUCAGACGUGAAAACCAUGGGCUCAACCUGUGGACUGCGUUUGAAACUGUUUGGCUUGAGUGAAGUAGAGGCAGGCGGAAUUCCCGGUGUAGCGGUGAAAUGCGUAGAGAUCGGGAGGAACACCAGUGGCGAAGGCGGCCUGCUGGGCUUUAACUGACGCUGAGGCACGAAAGCAUGGGUAGCAAACA